UUAAAAAAACGAAAAUCGAAAUGAAAAACAACAAAAAGAGAAACAAAAGUGAAAAAAGGUUGAGUAAGGCAAAGAAGAUUGGAAUUAGAGAUUUGGUCUUAUUUUGGGGUGAUUUUUGCUUACUUUUUACUUAUUCUCCAUUGCUCCUCUUUUCCAUUUGGUUUUACCUACAUAUCUCAUAUUUAUCCUACAUUGUCCUUGGCUGCAUUACAACCUUGAAAAGUCCUUUUGAUCUUUAUGUGCAUGUGCUUAUGAUGUUGNN
This 262-nucleotide long non-coding RNA is filed under the name Lupinus angustifolius (narrow-leaved blue lupine). RNAcentral describes it as "long non-coding RNA (LANG_LNC001029)". The record is from RNAcentral. Lineage: Eukaryota; Viridiplantae; Streptophyta; Magnoliopsida; Fabales; Fabaceae.